RNAcentral lists this ribosomal RNA (142 nucleotides) under bacterium 052328. Its description in RNAcentral is "partial 16S rRNA". It matches the Rfam family "Bacterial small subunit ribosomal RNA", at positions 355 to 507 of the family's 1533-position model. The record is from RNAcentral.
UGGGGAAUAUUGCACAAUGGGCGCAAGCCUGAUGCAGCGACGCCGCGUGAGGGAUGACGGCCUUCGGGUUGUAAACCUCUUUCGCCAGGGACGAAGCGCAAGUGACGGUAACCUGGAGAAGAAGGACCGGCCAACUAGCGUG